GGGGAUGAUCGGCCUCGAGGGAGAGCCUAUGAUUAUCGCUCAGGCGGAGGACCCAGAGAAGCUCCUAAAAAUCUUUGGAAAACAUACGUGCAAAGCCAGAAAUGGCUUUAGCCUAAGGCGACCUCCUCUGUUUUUUAACGGAGGACAUCCUGCCUUUGACGCGCGCUAAAAGGAAUCAGGGUGUUAUAUAGCGCGACAACGCGAAGAGCCGCCUCGGCUUCGCGUCCGAAAUAGAGGCAAACUUUUUAAGCCUGUCAACCGAUUUUCAAAAACUUUCCUGACCCGGGUUCAAUUCCCGGCAUCUCCACAA
This 310-nucleotide transfer-messenger RNA is filed under the name Minisyncoccia. Its description in RNAcentral is "JACPKW01 sp016186825 X1 Standard tmRNA". It matches the Rfam family "transfer-messenger RNA". From Rfam's summary of the family: Bacterial tmRNA, also known as 10Sa RNA or SsrA, is named for its dual tRNA and mRNA-like properties. Its role is to liberate the mRNA from a stalled ribosome. The record is from RNAcentral. Lineage: Bacteria; Bacillati; Minisyncoccota.